This 861-nucleotide long non-coding RNA is filed under the name Elaeis guineensis (African oil palm). RNAcentral describes it as "long non-coding RNA (EGUI_LNC012362)". Lineage: Eukaryota; Viridiplantae; Streptophyta; Magnoliopsida; Arecales; Arecaceae. The record is from RNAcentral.
CCCGAGCUUCCCAACCGGCUCCUCUGCUCCACCACCUCCUCCCCCUCCGCAGCCGCCGCCAGCAGGGUCGCCAGAGCUCAGAAAUCGCCAUGGGGGGAGAUUGGGAGGUCGAGGACGAAGGUGAAGAACAGCGACAUGUUUGCUAUCCAAUAGAUAUACAUACCCGACAUGCAUUAUUCUCAGACAACAGAACACAAUCAUGUUUGCUAAUUAAGAUAUCAUCUAACAAUCAUUUAAAUUCUCUCUUUUUCACUUUUUAACUAUUUUGUUAGGUAGGUAUGGCACUUGAAGAAAGAAGAUGGACAGAUGGAUCACUGAAGCAAGAAAAAAAAAAAGACGCAUGGAUAUAUCAUUGAAGCAACAAGAAGAAAGUAGAUAUUGCCAAUCAGGUCUAUACAUUCUCAAGUGUUCCCACCUCUCCUGAUUGCACCAUCUUUGCCGUGUCCCGUGUUUACUCUUCGACCAUAAAAGGUAAGUUUACGCUGUGUAGGUGACCAGAAGUGGGCCUCAAGGAUGCUUUUUUAACAGUGUCGAUGCUUCGCUCGGUACCUUUCAUGUCGUCAGUCGUUGCAAUUGUGGUGAUGGUCAAUGUAGCUGUGGUUGCGAGAGCAUGAUCUUUAUGUGGGAUCGUAACAAGUUAUUGUGUUGUGAUUUUGUGAAGGAGGAAGUAGUUGUGAAGGAGCUUGCCGAGGUAGGAUUUGGUUAAGUGGAAAAAAUCCGAGACGUUUAAGGAGAUGAAGAGGUUCCAUCAAAAUGAAUGGUUUCAUAAAUUUGGAGAGAAGGGCUUCAUCGUGUUUUCAUGUUCUUUCAUUGGAAAAUUCGAUUCACGAGAAUAUGUAAGCAGUUUCAGCUGGUGAUGGC